This is a long non-coding RNA of Myodes glareolus (Bank vole), 2189 nucleotides long. RefSeq lists it as uncharacterized. The record is from RefSeq and is a predicted model, not a curated record. Lineage: Eukaryota; Metazoa; Chordata; Mammalia; Rodentia; Cricetidae.
AUAUUGCAGGGGAAAAACCAACAAGUCUGAAUUAAAGCAAACAAACCAAGUGGGCUAGGCAAGGUCUUCGGCAUGAGUGGAACCAGCUGAAGAAAUUGGGGCCCCAUCAGAACCUUCGGCACCUCUUUGUAAUAAAUGCCCUUGGCAAGCAAACGCCAUCAGGACAAGAACUACUUUCCAGUACCAUUGAAAGGAAAGCACUGGCAAGCGCGGUGGAAAUGUGAGCACGUAACGCCUGUUGGCUGCAUGUGAAUGAGUCUUGGAGUUUUGGAGACAGUUCCAAGAAAUACAAUACAUGUUUUACACAUGACAAAACAAGCGGUUGUAUUUCGUUUCUAACGAGUUGGAAGUGAAACUCACGGUUAUCAAAAAGUCAAAGUGCACUGAAACAAACCUGACAUCCGUGUAGAAUGUGACAGUCCAGAAAGGAAUCCAUGAAUGCUGCAAGGUACAGUGAUACUCACUGGAGAAGACGCACUCGUUUGGACGGGUGUGCUUACAGUUCUGGGAAUGUGCUCGAGACAAAGCAGUCCCUUUCGGGGGACCUGAAAGAAGAAGAGCAUUCUCUGGUUUUCUAUCAACAUGCCGAACUCAGCCGUGACAAUCCCUAACCAGAACCGCGAAUAUACGGUAAUCCCUAGUCUAGUGCCUGAUGUGGAGCAGCUGCCCAAUGCAUUUUAGUUUCUGCAAAUGAAAAACAAUGCAGAACAACACACAAAGGGGAAAACACCUUCUCUUCCAUUGCUAAGUAGAACGUAGCAGUGGUGGCAGAGGGUAGUAAGUGUAAUAAAGAAGGCUGUAGUAAAAGCCGUAAAAAUCACCGUUCUGGACAGCAUGAAAGAUGAGCUGUUGUUGCAUGGUUUUGGUCUUCUCUAUUUCCCUCAUGGCCAUGAAGAUCCAUGAAGACCUAACUUGCAACUUCCCAAACCAAAAUUAAGUGUAAGUUUCCCAGUCCUGUUUUCUACAGACAAAAGAAAUGGACUUGACACCUUGGUUCCUCGGAGAUGCUGCCUUAUUUUGACUUGUGGAAUUCCUUAAGGCCAUGUCCAAGUGUCCUGAAUGUCACACAUUUUUGUCAAGUGCAGAUUGAAUUAGAUGCUAUGAGUUUGAAUUCCAACAGUCUGAGUGCCAAUUUUUUUUUUAAAAUUCAGAUUUAAGAGAUGGCUGUUUUGUGCCUGGCUGAUGUCAGCCUGGGGCAUGACAGUGCUUUGUGCUGGGACGAUCAAACGUGACUGAAGAGAGUAGAGUCCUGGGAAAGUCAGUCCGGGUGAAAUCCCAGGAUGUUCAAGGGGUUUCUAGGCAGAGUAACCUUGUCUGCACAGAUUGGCUCAAAGCAGUCCGAAUCCCACUCCGACACAGUGUAAAGACCGUGUUCCCCUGCAAUUUAGUUUAAAAGUCACUUUUAAAUGAAACCUCGUGUAUCAAAGAAAACUCAGGAAUAGAGGGGACUGGUACACUGUAAUGUAUUCCUAAAGGGUGAGCAUAGAAAGAAAUGGCCCAUUUGUGUGGGUGGAAAACCAAUUACAAAUCCACUCAGAGUUCUUGGCGUUUUCCCCAGUUUGUAGCAAAAGUAACAUGACCCAAGAACAUAACAAAGAUGGCGGUAAUGGAGCCUGAGAGAUGGCCCUUGCUACUCUUCCAGAGGACGUGAGUUAGGUUCCUCUAUUGGGCAGAUCACAGCCACCUGUGUCUCCAAGUCUAGAUCUGCCACCCUCUUCUGGCCUGUGUGGCCUACACACAUGUUCACUCACACACACACACACACACACACACACACACGUACAUACACACAUACCCCAACCCUGUGACAUAUCUCCUCCAACGAGGUGACACCUGAUAAUGCUUUCCAAACAAUUCCACCAACUGGGGGGCCAAGCCUUCAAACAUAUGAGCCUAUGGGGACAAUUCUCAUUCAAACCAAUACACACCGACUCCAAAAGUAUUGUAGUUUACCUCUUAGCAUGCAAAAGUCUACUGUGUUUGUUACUUAACAGUCAGAGGUGCAUAUAUGCAUAGCAAGAAGUCAUUUUAAGAUCCGAUUUUGGCAUUAGGCUUGUGGUAAAAUUCUUUAAAACUGUAUGGAAUAUGGUUUUGAAUUUUAUUCAGUAGGAAAAUUAAGUGUUUCUAGCUCAAAAUAAUAAUGUUAAUGCAUAUAAAUUGUAUUUAUCAAUAUACCAUCCAUGACAUAA